GCCGGGCGCGGUGGCGCGUGCCUGUAGUCCCAGCUACUAGGGAGGCUGAGGUGGGAGGAUCGCUUGAGCCCAGGAGUUCUGGGCUGUAGUGCGCUAUGCCGAUCGGGUGUCCGCACUAAGUUCGGCAUCAAUAUGGUGACCUCCCGGGAGCGGGGGACCACCAGGUUGCCUAAGGAGGGGUGAACCGGCCCAGGUCGGAAACGGAGCAGGUCAAAACUCCCGUGCUGAUCAGUAGUGGGAUCGCGCCUGUGAAUAGCCACUGCACUCCAGCCUGGGCAACAUAGCGAGACCCUGUCUCUU
Molecule: unclassified non-coding RNA, 300 nt
Organism: Macaca fascicularis (crab-eating macaque)
Lineage: Eukaryota; Metazoa; Chordata; Mammalia; Primates; Cercopithecidae
Rfam family: Metazoan signal recognition particle RNA
About the family: The signal recognition particle (SRP) is a universally conserved ribonucleoprotein. It is involved in the co-translational targeting of proteins to membranes. The eukaryotic SRP consists of a 300-nucleotide 7S RNA and six proteins: SRPs 72, 68, 54, 19, 14, and 9.
Source: Ensembl